UCAACCAAACAUGAAGGAGCAGCAUUUACUCGACAAUAUUGACAGUCUUGUUUUUCAAUUUGCCAUUAAAACUCGAGAGGCUUCUCAAAAGAAGAAUGGAAUCCAAAAGCAAAUCAAAGAGUGCAGAACUCUCAUCACUGAGAAGAGGUCUUACAUUGAAGCAAUUCAAGGACACAUCAGGAAUCUUGAAGAAGAAAUUCGA
Molecule: long non-coding RNA, 202 nt
Organism: Xiphophorus maculatus (southern platyfish)
Lineage: Eukaryota; Metazoa; Chordata; Actinopteri; Cyprinodontiformes; Poeciliidae
Exons: 3
Source: RefSeq, a predicted model, not a curated record